This 465-nucleotide ribosomal RNA is filed under the name Vreelandella stevensii. Its description in RNAcentral is "partial 16S ribosomal RNA". It matches the Rfam family "Bacterial small subunit ribosomal RNA", at positions 338 to 795 of the family's 1533-position model. The record is from RNAcentral. Lineage: Bacteria; Pseudomonadati; Pseudomonadota; Gammaproteobacteria; Oceanospirillales; Halomonadaceae.
CCUACGGGCGGCAGCAGUGGGGAAUAUUGGACAAUGGGGGCAACCCUGAUCCAGCCAUGCCGCGUGUGUGAAGAAGGCCCUCGGGUUGUAAAGCACUUUCAGUGAGGAAGAACGCCUGGUGGUUAAUACCCAUCAGGAAAGACAUCACUCACAGAAGAAGCACCGGCUAACUCCGUGCCAGCAGCCGCGGUAAUACGGAGGGUGCGAGCGUUAAUCGGAAUUACUGGGCGUAAAGCGCGCGUAGGUGGCUUGAUAAGCCGGUUGUGAAAGCCCCGGGCUCAACCUGGGAACGGCAUCCGGAACUGUCAAGCUAGAGUGCAGGAGAGGAAUGUAGAAUUCCCGGUGUAGCGGUGAAAUGCGUAGAGAUCGGGAGGAAUACCAGUGGCGAAGGCGGCCUUCUGGACUGACACUGACACUGAGGUGCGAAAGCGUGGGUAGCAAACAGGAUUAGAUACCCUUGUAGUC